UACAGAGGAUGCAAGCGUUAUCCGGAAUGAUUGGGCGUAAAGCGUCUGUAGGUGGCUUUUUAAGUCCGCCGUCAAAUCCCAGGGCUCAACUCUGGACAGGCGGUGGAAACUACCAAGCUGGAGUACGGUAGGGGCAGAGGGAAUUUCCGGUGGAGCGGUGAAAUGCGUAGAUAUCUGGAGGAACACCGGUGGCGAAGGCGGCAUCCUGGACCAAUUCUGACGCUGAGGAGCGAAAGCCAGGGGAGCAAACGGG
Molecule: ribosomal RNA, 253 nt
Filed under: uncultured bacterium
Lineage: Bacteria
Description: partial 16S ribosomal RNA
Rfam family: Bacterial small subunit ribosomal RNA
Source: RNAcentral